Molecule: ribosomal RNA, 301 nt
Filed under: uncultured bacterium
Lineage: Bacteria
Description: partial 16S ribosomal RNA
Rfam family: Bacterial small subunit ribosomal RNA
Source: RNAcentral
CAGCAGCCACGGUAAUACGGAGGAUCCGAGCGUUAUCCGGAAUUAUUGGGUUUAAAGGGUGCGUAGGCGGACAGAUAAGUCAGUGGUGAAAGACGGUGGCUCAACCAUCGCAGUGCCGUUGAUACUGUUUGUCUUGAAUAUGGAUGAGGUAGGCGGAAUGUGGCAAGUAGCGGUGAAAUGCAUAGAUAUGCCACAGAACACCGAUUGCGAAGGCAGCUUACCAAGGCAAUAUUGACGCUGAGGCACGAAAGCGUGGGGAUCGAACAGGAUUAGAUACCCGAGUAGUCCCUGUCUCUUAUAC